Molecule: ribosomal RNA, 330 nt
Filed under: uncultured eukaryote
Lineage: Eukaryota
Description: partial 18S ribosomal RNA
Rfam family: Eukaryotic small subunit ribosomal RNA
Source: RNAcentral
CCCUUAGAUGUCCGGGGCCGCACGCGCGCUACACUGAAGGAAUCAGCGUGGCUUUCUCCCUGACCCGAAAGGGUUGGGAAACCCGUUGAAUCUCCUUCGUGAUAGGGAUUGGGGCUUGAAAUUGUUCCCCAUGAACGAGGAAUUCCCAGUAAGCGCGAGUCAUAAGCUCGCGUUGAUUACGUCCCUGCCCUUUGUACACACCGCCCGUCGCACCUACCGAUUGAAUGGUCCGGUGAAAUCUUCGGAUUGAGACUUUGAUUUGUUUACUCAAAACGCUGUUUCAAGAAGUUGAUUAAACCUUACCAUUUAGAGGAAGGUGAAGUCGUAACA